Long non-coding RNA from Parus major (Great Tit), 1828 nucleotides. RefSeq lists it as uncharacterized. NCBI's taxonomy places the organism in Eukaryota, Metazoa, Chordata, Aves, Passeriformes, Paridae. The transcript has 3 exons. The record is from RefSeq and is a predicted model, not a curated record.
UUCCACCACUAAAACUCGUGGUUGUGUGCUGAGGUGACAGUCCAUGAAAAGAAGUGAUUGUUAUUGUUUCUUCAUCUCUUCAAGAGACAAGUAAAGCAGGAUAAUUUUGGUUCAAAACAAAAGUAGACUGAGAAAAAGAGGUUUACAUGAAAUAUUUCUGGAACUUAAAGCUUCUUCUCCCUCUGUCCCUCUGCCUUUGCCCAGGCUGGCCUGUGGGGGUGGUGCCCUCCUGCUGCCAGAGGAGUGCAGGUAGGGAAUAAUUACUGACCCUCAUCCCCCUGGCACAGGGGUCUCUGCCCUGGUUUGUCUCCUGAAGGGAUCCUCACUAACCCACACUAAACCCUGGCCAGAAUAAAGGAUUUCAGGCCUCCCUUUGCCACUGCCAGAACCAUUCCUGAUGGUAAAGCAAGACAAUGCAGCAACUCAGCCUUUUUUUAUUUAAAAAAAAAAAAUAAAAUUUCCCCCUUCCCUUUUAAUAUUGUCUUCAAUUUGAUAAAGUAAAUGUGUACUGCCUUUUCUCCAAGAAAACAACUUUCUGUGGCUCUGAGUUACAUGUAUUUGUAAAAACCUCCUUGUUUAAAGGCCAUGAUUACAGCUGAAGAAAUCCUAUGGAAUCAAAGCAAUGGGUUUGCACAGAUUGAAGCACAGCAUUUCUCAAAGAAACAGGCUACAGUUCCAAAUUAAGCAGACUUUGGUGCCUUUUUUGAUCUUUUUUUUUUAGAGUGCCAGCCCCUUGUGUCUGCAGGAGCAGGUGAGGAACCAGAGAGUGACACCCGUGGCACAUUGAGCACAAGACCUACAGCAAUUCCAAGCUGGGAACACAGUCCAGUUUGCCAGGGAGCAAGGAACCAAUUGCAAUUCCUCAUUAAAAAUCACUUCUGCUUAAUUCCUGCAACUCCAGUUGUGGACACUGAGUAUCAACCCUAAGCCUUGGCCACCGGUGAAAAAGGGUUGCAAUAUAAGAACCUUCCCAGAGUAACUGGAAAAGGGACAAGAGCCCUAAAGAGAGAUGAUUUUGUCAUUUUUAGUGAUCAGCUUUCUCCAGCUCCUCACUGAGCAGUGCCCAGCGUUCUCCUGGUGCUGCCACAGUGGAUCCUGUCAGCCUGCAGGAAAUAAAGGCUGUAAAAUUGCUUCUGCUGAAAGCAACAGGCCCUUUCCAUAGUGGCAUAUGUUAGCACUCAGCAUCCAGGAUUUGUGGCUGUGGCACAGAAACUCCCAGAAGGGACACAGAAAUCAGCCCCAAUUAUUUUGCACAUUCUCGUGUAACAAUAGCCGUGUGCUGAGCUGGCACUCACGGAUUCUUGGGAACAGUCUGGCACCUCCAUCCACACCUCCCGCUCCGAGAUCCGCAUCACAGGCGCUCCACUGGAGGAGUUUCAGUAUCGCAGUCGGAGAGCAGGCUGUUGUUACAGGUCCACACCCACACUCUGGAUUUUCAUCCAUACUCUAAAGGAAUUUCACUACCUUUGAUUUUGCAUAGGGGCCAAAUCCAGAAAUAACAGCAUGCCAAAGUUUGGGAGAUUUGGGACAGGGCAAGGCACUUAAAACAUUAAGCCUACAUUUACAAAGCACAAGUAACAGAAAAGUACCACAGUAAUCCUCUCCAGGCUUAAACUCUGCCAUUCCUUCCAAGAGAUUAAAAACAUAUGCCAGAUCAGAGGAAUCAGAGGGUGAGCAUUCCCCGUCCUACUUUCCCCUGCACUUCCAGCGGAGGCCAUCCCACCCCAGUCACAAGAGCCAUUUCUCACUCCUGUCCCUCCCUGAUCUCAGGGAGUGCUGCAGCAGCCCCACACCUCUGCACUUUUGGAAACAGGGACUUACAUUUUGU